UACAGAGGGUGCAAGCGUUGUUCGGAAUUAUUGGGCGUAAAGCGCGUGUAGGCGGCUUUGCAAGUCGGGUGUGAAAGCCCUCAGCUCAACUGAGGAAGUGCGCCCCGAAACUGCAGAGCUUGAGUGCCGGAGAGGGUGGCGGAAUUCCCCAAGUAGAGGUGAAAUUCGUAGAUAUGGGGAGGAACACCGGUGGCGAAGGCGGCCACCUGGACGGUAACUGACGCUGAGACGCGAAAGCGUGGGAGCAACAGG
Molecule: ribosomal RNA, 252 nt
Filed under: uncultured bacterium
Lineage: Bacteria
Description: partial 16S ribosomal RNA
Rfam family: Bacterial small subunit ribosomal RNA
Source: RNAcentral